UUUGUUACUUCAAACCAAUCGGACUUCGGUCUGACAUCAAGUGAUAUUGAACAAUUUAGCUGAUCGCACGGUCUAAGAACCGGCGACAUAUCCUUCAAAUGUCUGCCUUAUCAACUUUCGAUGGUAGAUUAUGCGCCUACCAUGGUUGUAACGGGUAACGGAGAAUCAGGGUUUGAUUCCGGAGAGGGAGCCUGAGAAACGGCUACCACAUCCAAGGAAGGCAGCAGGCACGCAAAUUACCCACUCCCGGCACGGGGAGGUAGUGACGAAAAAUAACAAGCUGGUCUCAAUGAGUUCCAGCAUUGUAAUGGGAACAAUUUAAAUCUUUUAUCGAGGAUCUAUUAGAGGGCAAGUCUGGUGCCAGCAGCCGCGGUAAUUCCAGCUCCAAUAGCGUAUAUUAAAGUUGUUGCGGUUAGAAAGCUCGUAGUUGGAUCUAGGAUUAGGGCUACGGUCGUUCAGCUUGGACGUACUGUAUGCCCGACUCCUUUUCUCUAGUAUUCGAUUGUUGCUCUUAAAUGAGUGACUUUAGUUGCUGGAACUUUUACCUUGAAAAAAUUGAAGUGCUCAAAGCAGGUU
RNAcentral lists this ribosomal RNA (576 nucleotides) under uncultured eukaryote. Its description in RNAcentral is "SSU rRNA". It matches the Rfam family "Eukaryotic small subunit ribosomal RNA", at positions 203 to 786 of the family's 1831-position model. The record is from RNAcentral.